GACGAACGCUGGCGGCGUGCUUAACACAUGCAAGUCGAACGAUGAAGCCGGAGCUUGCUCCGGCGGAUUAGUGGCGAACGGGUGAGUAACACGUGAGUAACCUGCCCUUGACUCUGGGAUAAGCGUUGGAAACGACGUCUAAUACCGGAUACGAACCGCGACGGCAUCGUCUGCGGUUGGAAAGAAUUUCGGUCAAGGAUGGACUCGCGGCCUAUCAGCUUGUUGGUGAGGUAAUGGCUCACCAAGGCGACGACGGGUAGCCGGCCUGAGAGGGUGACCGGCCACACUGGAACUGAGACACGGUCCAGACUCCGACGGGAGGCAGCAGUGGGGAAUAUUGCACAAUGGGCGAAAGCCUGAUGCAGCAACGCCGCGUGAGGGAUGACGGCCUUCGGGUUGUAAACCUCUUUUAGCAGCGAAGAAGCGAAAGUGACGGUACCUGCAGAAAAAGCACCGGCUAACUACGUGCCAGCCGCCGCCGUAA
RNAcentral lists this ribosomal RNA (484 nucleotides) under uncultured bacterium. Its description in RNAcentral is "partial 16S ribosomal RNA". It matches the Rfam family "Bacterial small subunit ribosomal RNA", at positions 28 to 523 of the family's 1533-position model. The record is from RNAcentral.